RNAcentral lists this ribosomal RNA (305 nucleotides) under uncultured bacterium. RNAcentral describes it as "bacterial SSU rRNA". It matches the Rfam family "Bacterial small subunit ribosomal RNA", at positions 335 to 658 of the family's 1533-position model. The record is from RNAcentral.
UGCCUACGGGAGGCAGCAGUGGGGAAUAUUGCACAAUGGGGGAAACCCUGAUGCAGCGACGCCGCGUGAAGGAAGAAGUAUCUCGGUAUGUAAACUUCUAUCCGCAGGGAAGAAAAUGACGGUACCUGACUAAGAAGCCCCGGCUAACUACGUGCCAGCAGCCGCGGUAAUACGUAGGGGGCAAGCGUUAUCCGGAUUUACUGGGUGUAAAGGGAGCGUAGACGGAAGAGCAAGUCUGAUGUGAAAGGCUGGGGCUUAACCCCAGGACUGCAUUGGAAACUGUUUUUCUAGAGUGCCGGAGAGGG